CCUACCUUGUGACUGUUCAUGUAUAAGUAAUUGUUUCCUGUUAACACAACAGGUGAGGCCCAUUAGGUUCUCAGCAGGGGAGUGUUCAGCUGUUUCUUCAGCUAAGAACAUUUUAGUAAAUGAUGCUCUUUUAAAGCUCCUUUAUCUUGGGGUGAACACAAUGCUGUUCUGUAAAUAAUUUAUUAAGUAUUCGUUAAAAAAGUGCUUGUAGGCUUUUUUUCUUUGAUGUGUAACUGUUUUCAGAUGAUGACUCUGAUUCUCCCUUUUGGCUCGAGAUCACACGCAGCCUCCCUCAAGUAUUUAUCUUAGCUUCUUGAAGUUCUCCACCUGUGACUGUGCACACGGAGCAGACACUUCAUUACAAUGUUUUCACUACAGGAUUUAUGGCUGCACUUACUGGAACUUCUGAAAAAGAGCGAAGGCAAACAGAGCGAGACACUGUGUGUAUCAUCAGAGGCUGUGCUUUGCAACGUUUUGGAUGUCACUCAUCAUCCUGCACAAGCUGAGGCAUGUUAGGCAGCACGGUCUUAUGAGGAGCUGCGAAACAGGAAUGCCAAUUGUCUAGAAGGCUACGAGGGAAAAUGGACAAACCCUGCAAAAGACUCAUUAGCGAAAAAUCACCAAAAAAAAUCCUCAUAUAGGACAUAUUUCAGCUCUGCUGGGGGUUAAAUCCUAAAUAGUUGCCAUUGACUAUUGUGCCUUAUUAUGAGCUCAGUAACUAAUACACUUUCAGUAGGUGGAAUGCACGCUCCCCUUACAUCCACACAUCCCACAUACCUCCCUGCAUGUGUGCCCAGGGCUACUGAUGAUGUACAGAUGCCAGACCUGAGGCCAAGACCUCCCAUUCCUGAGGGCUACAGUAGUGAGUCGGAAAGAAAGACAAACACAGCAGUGGUGAGAGAUGAGAGGCAAGUCUGAUCAAGGUCAAGGUAUACGCAGACAUGGUUUAUCAUUACAGUCUCUUGUUAGCUUUGAAGUAGGAACAUGAAACCAUUGAUCUAUUCAAUACUUUACAGAGCAGGUCUUUACAGUACAGAGACGUCAGAGUUCACCCUUUUCUCCACAUUUUACAUUUAUAUUUCCCUCCUUAGAUGGUUAAUUCGACUUGCUUUGGCUUUAAAUAAUUGAAACCUUUGACAUACACGUGCUUGUUAGAUGGAGUUAAUGUUUAUCUAAUGUCUUACGCGAGCCAACAAAUUUAGUAAACAAACUAAUUUCCUGGGAAACUGCCAGUCCUGUUCCCUAGCAAACAAUAACACAUGUUUAUAUGAAGGGCCCUGAUUGAGGAAAUGUAGGCAGUUUAAAAAUGUUUCCCAUCAAAAGGAAAGCAAAAAUGAUUGCUUUUAUAACUUAAUUUAUAUGCUAUCUUGUGUUUGACUUUCU
This 1383-nucleotide long non-coding RNA is filed under the name Gouania willdenowi (blunt-snouted clingfish). RNAcentral describes it as "lncRNA (ENSGWIG00000024466.1)". The record is from RNAcentral. Lineage: Eukaryota; Metazoa; Chordata; Actinopteri; Blenniiformes; Gobiesocidae.